RNAcentral lists this ribosomal RNA (254 nucleotides) under uncultured bacterium. RNAcentral's name for it is "partial 16S ribosomal RNA". It matches the Rfam family "Bacterial small subunit ribosomal RNA", at positions 524 to 776 of the family's 1533-position model. The record is from RNAcentral.
UACGGGGGGAGCAAGCGUUGUUCGGAUUUACUGGGCGUAAAGGGCGCGUAGGCGGCCACCGCAAGUCGGUUGUGAAAUCUCCGGGCUUAACCCGGAAAGGUCAACCGAUACUGCGGGGCUAGAGUGCAGAAGGGGCAACUGGAAUUCUCGGUGUAGCGGUGAAAUGCGUAGAUAUCGAGAGGAACACCUGCGGCGAAGGCGGGUUGCUGGGCUGACACUGACGCUGAUGCGCGAAAGCUAGGGGAGCGAACCGG